AUGGCGAUGCCGCGGGCCGUGUCCUUAUCGGUCGCCGUGCUCCUGGCGCUCCUGGCGUCGGCGGAGUCGUGGCUGUACGAGGAGUUCACCACGGACGGCAACGUGCGCGCCGACUACAACGCGCAGGGGCAGCAGGUGGCGUCGCUCGUCCUCACCCAGCAGUCCGGCGGCGGCGCCUUCGGCUCCCGGCAAAAGUACCUCUACGGCCAGUUCAGCAUCCAGAUGAAGCUCGUCCCCGGCAACUCCGCCGGCACCGUCACCUCCUUCUACCUGUCGUCGGGCGACGGCCCCGGGCACGACGAGAUCGACAUGGAGUUCAUGGGCAACGCCACGGGGCAGCCGGUGGUGCUCAACACCAACGUGUGGGCCAACGGCGACGGCAAGAAGGAGCACCAGUUCGACCUCUGGUUCGACCCGGCGGCCGACUUCCACACCUACACCAUCAUCUGGAACGACAAGAACGUCCUCUUCAAGGUGGACGACCUCUUCAUCCGCAGCUUCAGGCGCUACGCCGACCUGCCCUACCCGGGCGCCAAGCCCAUGUCCGUGCACGCCACGCUCUGGGACGGCAGCUACUGGGCCACGCAGAAGGGCAAGGUCCCCGUCGACUGGUCGGGCGCGCCCUUCGUCGUCUCCUACCGCGGCUAUACCGCCGACGCCUGCGUGCCAAACGGCGGGGAAGGCAGCCCGCUCUCCUGCCCCGCCGGCACCGACCGCUGGAUGAACCGGCAGCUCGACGACGCCGAGCGCGGCACCGUCGCCUGGGCCAAGCGCGACUACAUGCGCUACAACUACUGCGACGACGGCUGGCGAUUCCCGCAGGGCUUCCCCGCCGAGUGCUCACGCGGCUGA
This 852-nucleotide ribosomal RNA is filed under the name Triticum aestivum (bread wheat). RNAcentral's name for it is "partial small subunit ribosomal RNA". The record is from RNAcentral. Lineage: Eukaryota; Viridiplantae; Streptophyta; Magnoliopsida; Poales; Poaceae.